AUUGAACGCUGGCGGCAGGCCUAACACAUGCAAGUCGAGCGGCAGCGGAAAGUAGCUUGCUACUUUGCCGGCGAGCGGCGGACGGGUGAGUAAUGUCUGGGAAACUGCCUGAUGGAGGGGGAUAACUACUGGAAACGGUAGCUAAUACCGCAUAACGUCGCAAGACCAAAGAGGGGGACCUUCGGGCCUCUUGCCAUCAGAUGUGCCCAGAUGGGAUUAGCUAGUAGGUGGGGUAACGGCUCACCUAGGCGACGAUCCCUAGCUGGUCUGAGAGGAUGACCAGCCAAACUGGAACUGAGACACGGUCCAGACUCCUACGGGAGGCAGCAGUGGGGAAUAUUGCACAAUGGGCGCAAGCCUGAUGCAGCCAUGCCGCGUGUAUGAAGAAGGCCUUCGGGUUGUAAAGUACUUUCAGCGGGGAGGAAGGCGUUGAGGUUAAUAACCUCAGCGAUUGACGUUACCCGCAGAAGAAGCACCGGCUAACUCCGUGCCUGCAGCAGCCGCGG
This 506-nucleotide ribosomal RNA is filed under the name uncultured bacterium. RNAcentral's name for it is "partial 16S ribosomal RNA". It matches the Rfam family "Bacterial small subunit ribosomal RNA", at positions 30 to 520 of the family's 1533-position model. The record is from RNAcentral.